GGGUCAUUAGCUCAGUUGGUAGAGCGUCCGGCCGUUAACCGGGAGCGCACAGGUUCAAAGCCUGUAUGACCCUCCA
Molecule: transfer RNA, 76 nt
Filed under: Caudoviricetes sp.
Lineage: Duplodnaviria; Heunggongvirae; Uroviricota; Caudoviricetes
Description: tRNA-Asn
Rfam family: tRNA
About the family: Transfer RNA (tRNA) molecules are approximately 80 nucleotides in length. Their secondary structure includes four short double-helical elements and three loops (D, anti-codon, and T loops).
Source: RNAcentral